CCCCCUUCAACAUCCACAUAUACCUGGCAAAGGUACAUACGGGGGUAUUGCUGUACUCAGACGACAUAGCUGAGCAGCAUAUGAAGUAUUAUACAGUCGUAGCACACAUAAGGUUUACAAAAUAUACUGUGCAAACUCACUUUGUGUGUCAAAAGGGCAAAAAAAAAAAAACACUUAUUACCACUACACUUGGUACAAGCUAGCGGAAAAAUGAU
Pelobates cultripes (western spadefoot toad) is the source of this 215-nucleotide non-coding RNA. Lineage: Eukaryota; Metazoa; Chordata; Amphibia; Anura; Pelobatidae. The record is from the annotation of a GenBank genome assembly.